UUCAACGGCCGCGGUAUUCUAACCGUGCAAAGGUAGCAUAAUCACUUGUUCUCUAAAUAAGGACUUGUAUCAACGGCACCACGAGGGCCACACUGUCUCCUUUCUCUAAUCAGUGAAACUGAUCUCUCCGUGAAGAAGCGGAGAUACACCCAUAAGACGAGAAGACCCCAUGGAGCUUUAAACCCAAAAGCAACCACACACCAUAACUCCCUAACACUUAUUAAACCUGCUUAUUGGUUUUAGGUUGGGGCGACCACGGAGAAAAAUCUAACCUCCACGAUAAAUGGGACUUAUUAUUUACCCCCUUAUCCAAGAACAACAACUCUAAGAAUCAACAGUUUGAUAUAAAAUGAUCCGAUAUCAAUAUUCGAUCAACGAACCAAGUUACCCUGGGGAUAACAGCGCCAUCCAUUUUAAGAGCCCCUAUCGACAAAUGGGUUUACGACCUCGAUGUUGGAUCAGGGUAUCCUAGUGGUGCAACCACUACUAACGGUUCGUUUGUUCAACGAUUAAAACCCUACGUGAUC
RNAcentral lists this ribosomal RNA (527 nucleotides) under Walkerana diplosticta (Malabar Indian frog). Its description in RNAcentral is "partial 16S ribosomal RNA". It matches the Rfam family "Bacterial large subunit ribosomal RNA", at positions 1923 to 2605 of the family's 2925-position model. Lineage: Eukaryota; Metazoa; Chordata; Amphibia; Anura; Ranixalidae. The record is from RNAcentral.